CCUACGGGGGGCUGCAGUGGGGAAUAUUGGACAAUGGGGGGAACCCUGAUCCAGCCAUGCCGCGUGUGUGAAGAAGGCCCUCGGGUUGUAAAGCACUUUCAGUGAGGAAGAACGCCUGGUGGUUAAUACCCAUCAGGAAAGACAUCACUCACAGAAGAAGCACCGGCUAACUCCGUGCCAGCAGCCGCGGUAAUACGGAGGGUGCGAGCGUUAAUCGGAAUUACUGGUCGUAAAGCGCGCGUAGGUGGCUUGAUAAGCCUGUUGUGAAAGCCCCGGGCUUAACCUGGGAACGGCAUCCGGAACUGUCAAGCUAGAGUGCAGGAGAGGAAGGUAGAAUUCCCGGUGUAGAGGUGAAAUGCGUAGAGAUCGGGAGGAAUACCAGUGGCGAAGGCGGCCUUCUGGACUGACACUGACACUGAGGUGCGAAAGCGUGGGUAGCAAACAGGAUUAGAUACCCUAGUAGUC
Molecule: ribosomal RNA, 465 nt
Filed under: Vreelandella stevensii
Lineage: Bacteria; Pseudomonadati; Pseudomonadota; Gammaproteobacteria; Oceanospirillales; Halomonadaceae
Description: partial 16S ribosomal RNA
Rfam family: Bacterial small subunit ribosomal RNA
Source: RNAcentral